AACGAACGCUGGCGGCAUGCCUAACACAUGCAAGUCGAACGAGACCUUCGGGCCUAGUGGCGCACGGGUGCGUAACGCGUGGGAACCUGCCUUUAGGUUCGGAAUAACUCAGAGAAAUUUGAGCUAAUACCGGAUGAUGUCUUCGGACCAAAGAUUUAUCGCCUUUAGAUGGGCCCGCGUUGGAUUAGCUAGUUGGUGGGGUAAAGGCCUACCAAGGCGACGAUCCAUAGCUGGUCUGCGAGGAUGAUCAGCCACACUGGGACUGAGACACGGCCCAGACUCCUACGGGAGGCAGCAGUGGGGAAUAUUGGACAAUGGGCGAAAGCCUGAUCCAGCAAUGCCGCGUGAGUGAUGAAGGCCUUAGGGUUGUAAAGCUCUUUUACCCGAGAUGAUAAUGACAGUAUCGGGAGAAUAAGCUCCGGCUAACUCCGUG
RNAcentral lists this ribosomal RNA (433 nucleotides) under uncultured bacterium. RNAcentral's name for it is "partial 16S ribosomal RNA". It matches the Rfam family "Bacterial small subunit ribosomal RNA", at positions 29 to 507 of the family's 1533-position model. The record is from RNAcentral.